RNAcentral lists this ribosomal RNA (1362 nucleotides) under Xanthomonas sp. 4-2-F. RNAcentral describes it as "bacterial SSU rRNA". The stretch from base 1 to 565 matches the Rfam family "Bacterial small subunit ribosomal RNA", at positions 969 to 1533 of the family's 1533-position model. The record is from RNAcentral. Lineage: Bacteria; Pseudomonadati; Pseudomonadota; Gammaproteobacteria; Lysobacterales; Lysobacteraceae.
CCUUACCUGGUCUUGACAUCCAAGGAACUUUCCAGAGAUGGAUUGGUGCCUUCGGGAACCGUGAGACAGGUGCUGCUGGCUGUCGUCAGCUCGUGUCGUGAGAUGUUGGGUUAAGUCCCGCAACGAGCGCAACCCUUGUCCUUAGUUGCCAGCACGUAAUGGUGGGAACUCUAAGGAGACCGCCGGUGACAAACCGGAGGAAGGUGGGGAUGACGUCAAGUCAUCAUGGCCCUUACGACCAGGGCUACACACGUACUACAAUGGUGGGGACAGAGGGCUGCAAGCCGGCGACGGUAAGCCAAUCCCAGAAACCCCAUCUCAGUCCGGAUUGGAGUCUGCAACUCGACUCCAUGAAGUCGGAAUCGCUAGUAAUCGCAGAUCAGCAUUGCUGCGGUGAAUACGUUCCCGGGCCUUGUACACACCGCCCGUCACACCAUGGGAGUUUGUUGCACCAGAAGCAGGUAGCUUAACCUUCGGGAGGGCGCUUGCCACGGUGUGGCCGAUGACUGGGGUGAAGUCGUAACAAGGUAGCCGUAUCGGAAGGUGCGGCUGGAUCACCUCCUAGAGGCUAAUACCCGAUUGUGCUGACGGUACCCAAAGAAUAAGCACCGGCUAACUUCGUGCCAGCAGCCGCGGUAAUACGAAGGGUGCAAGCGUUACUCGGAAUUACUGGGCGUAAAGCGUGCGUAGGUGGUUGUUUAAGUCCGUUGUGAAACCCCUGGGCUCAACCUGGGAAUUGCAGUGGAUACUGGGCAACUAGAGUGUGGUAGAGGAUGGCGGAAUUCCCGGUGUAGCAGUAUAAAUGCCUAGAGAUCGGGAGGAACAUCUGUGGCGAAGGCUCGCCUUCUGGGACCAACACUGACAGUGAUGCACGAAAGCGUGGGGGAGCAAACAGUGAUUAGACUACCCUGGUCGUACCACGCCCCUAAACGAUGCGUACUGGAUGUAUGUGUGCACACUUGUCACGCCAAUAUCAAAGCUAACCCCCUUUAAAUUUCGCCCGCCUGGGGGAAGUACGGGUCGCAAAGAUUGAAACUUCAAAGGGAAUUUGACCGGGGGCCUCGACACCAAGGCGGUAGUGAGUUAUGGUGGCUUUUAAAUUUGGAAUGCCAUCGCCGAAGGAACUUACUUACCCUGGGUGGUCUUUGACACCAUCAUAGUGGGGAACUUUUUUCCUCAGUACCAUGGGGAAAUUAUGCGUCGCCCCUUUUCCUGGCGCGACACCCGCAUGAAAUAAAACCAGGGGAUGGGCCUUGCCCGUGUGAGUGUGUGCCUUGGAUUCACAAAUCCCCUAUCGCAUAUGAAACGACCCCUGCAGGAGAAUUGGUGUUUCUGUGAGCAGUAACCGUCUACUCACGGAGU